AGAAUCAACGCUGGCGGCGUGCCUAACACAUGCAAGUCGAUCGAGAAAGUGGAGCAAUCCAUGAGUAAAGAGGCGCACGGGUGAGUAACACGUGACUAACCUACCUUCGAGUGGGGAAUAACCUGGGGAAACCCGGGCUAAUACCGCAUAAUACCUACGGGUCAAAGGAGCAAUUCGCUUGAAGAGGGGGUCGCGGCAGAUUAGUUAGUUGGCGGGGUAAUGGCCCACCAAGACGAUGAUCUGUAUCCGGCCUGAGAGGGCGCACGGACACACUGGAACUGAAACACGGUCACCCCCCGAUCCUACGGGAGGCAGCAGUGGGGAAUUUUGCGCAAUGGGGGAAACCCUGACGCAGCAACGCCGCGUGGAGGAUGAAGUCCCUUGGGACGUAAACUCCUUUCGACCGGGACGAUUAUGACGGUACCGGAUGAAGAAGCCCCGGCUAACUUCGUGCCAGCAGCCGC
This 464-nucleotide ribosomal RNA is filed under the name uncultured bacterium. RNAcentral's name for it is "SSU rRNA". It matches the Rfam family "Bacterial small subunit ribosomal RNA", at positions 26 to 518 of the family's 1533-position model. The record is from RNAcentral.